GACGAACGCUGGCGGCGUGCCUAAUACAUGCAAGUAGAACGCUGAAGAGAGGAGCUUGCUCUUCUUGGAUGAGUUGCGAACGGGUGAGUAACGCGUAGGUAACCUGCCUUGUAGCGGGGGAUAACUAUUGGAAACGAUAGCUAAUACCGCAUAACAAUGGAUGACCCAUGUCAUUUAUUUGAAAGGGGCAAAUGCUCCACUACAAGAUGGACCUGCGUUGUAUUAGCUAGUAGGUGAGGUAACGGCUCACCUAGGCGACGAUACAUAGCCGACCUGAGAGGGUGAUCGGCCACACUGGGACUGAGACACGGCCCAGACUCCUACGGGAGGCAGCAGUAGGGAACCUUCGGCAAUGGGGGCAACCCUGACCGAGCAACGCCGCGUGAGUGAAGAAGGUUUUCGGAUCGUAAAGCUCUGUUGUAAGUCAAGAACGAGUGUGAGAGUGGAAAGUUCACACUGUGACGGUAGCUUACCAGAAAGGGACGGCUAACUACGUGCCAGCAGCCGCGGUAAUACGUAGGUCCCGAGCGUUGUCCGGAUUUAUUGGGCGUAAAGCGAGCGCAGGCGGUUUGAUAAGUCUGAAGUUAAAGGCUGUGGCUCAACCAUAGUUCGCUUUGGAAACUGUCAAACUUGAGUGCAGAAGGGGAGAGUGGAAUUCCAUGUGUAGCGGUGAAAUGCGUAGAUAUAUGGAGGAACACCGGUGGCGAAAGCGGCUCUCUGGUCUGUAACUGACGCUGAGGCUCGAAAGCGUGGGGAGCGAACAGGAUUAGAUACCCUGGUAGUCCACGCCGUAAACGAUGAGUGCUAGGUGUUGGAUCCUUUCCGGGAUUCAGUGCCGCAGCUAACGCAUUAAGCACUCCGCCUGGGGAGUACGACCGCAAGGUUGAAACUCAAAGGAAUUGACGGGGGCCCGCACAAGCGGUGGAGCAUGUGGUUUAAUUCGAAGCAACGCGAAGAACCUUACCAGGUCUUGACAUCCCGAUGCUAUUUCUAGAGAUAGAAAGUUACUUCGGUACAUCGGUGACAGGUGGUGCAUGGUUGUCGUCAGCUCGUGUCGUGAGAUGUUGGGUUAAGUCCCGCAACGAGCGCAACCCCUAUUGUUAGUUGCCAUCAUUCAGUUGGGCACUCUAGCGAGACUGCCGGUAAUAAACCGGAGGAAGGUGGGGAUGACGUCAAAUCAUCAUGCCCCUUAUGACCUGGGCUACACACGUGCUACAAUGGUUGGUACAACGAGUUGCGAGUCGGUGACGGCAAGCUAAUCUCUUAAAGCCAAUCUCAGUUCGGAUUGUAGGCUGCAACUCGCCUACAUGAAGUCGGAAUCGCUAGUAAUCGCGGAUCAGCACGCCGCGGUGAAUACGUUCCCGGGCCU
This 1369-nucleotide ribosomal RNA is filed under the name uncultured bacterium. Its description in RNAcentral is "bacterial SSU rRNA". It matches the Rfam family "Bacterial small subunit ribosomal RNA", at positions 28 to 1381 of the family's 1533-position model. The record is from RNAcentral.